UGAACGCUAGCGGCAGGCUUAAUACAUGCAAGUCGAGGGGCAUCAAGGUACACGAAAGUGUAUUGUUGGCGACCGGCGGACGGGUGAGUAAUAGGUAGGUAACCUACCUCAUACUGAGGCAUAGCUGGGAGAAAUUCCAGGUAAUUCCUCAUGAGGUUAUAUGACACAUGUGAUAUAAUCAAAGGUAUCGCAAGGUACUGGUAUGAGAUGGGCUUACUGACCAUUAGCUAGUUGGUGAGAUAAGAGCUCACCAAGGCGAAGAUGGUUAGGGGUUUUGAGAGAGAGAUCCCCCACAUUGGAACUGAGAGACGGUCCAGACUCCUACGGGAGGCAGCAGUAGGGAAUAUUGGGCAAUGGGCGGAAGCCUGACCCAGCCAUGCCGCGUGAAGGAAGACGGCCUUAUGGGUUGUAAACUUCUUUACUAUGCGACUAACUAGAUUUACGAGAUUAAUUCUAUAGAAUGUAGCAUAGCAAAAAGCACCGGCUAACUCCGUG
RNAcentral lists this ribosomal RNA (495 nucleotides) under uncultured bacterium. RNAcentral describes it as "bacterial SSU rRNA". It matches the Rfam family "Bacterial small subunit ribosomal RNA", at positions 30 to 507 of the family's 1533-position model. The record is from RNAcentral.